AUGAACGCCGGCGGUGUGCCUAAUACAUGCAAGUCGAGCGCAGUGCUUGCACUGAGCGGCGGACGGGUGAGUAACACGUGGGCAACCUACCCUGAAGUGGGGGAUAACAUCUGGAAACAGGUGCUAAUACCGCAUAACAACGAAACCACAUGGUUUUCGUUCAAAGAUGUUCGUAUCACUUUAGGAUGGGCCCGCGGUGCAUUAGCUAGUUGGUAAGGUAACGGCUUACCAAGGCAAUGAUGCAUAGCCGAGUUGAGAGACUGAUCGGCCACAUUGGGACUGAGACACGGCCCAAACUCCUACGGGAGGCAGCAGUAGGGAAUCUUCCACAAUGGACGCAAGUCUGAUGGAGCAACGCCGCGUGAGUGAAGAAGGGUUUCGGCUCGUAAAGCUCUGUUGGUAGUGAAGAAAGAUAGAGGUGUAAGCCUUUAUUUGACGGUAAUUACUUAGAAAGUCACGGCUAACUACGUGCCAGCAGCCGCGGUAAUACGUAGGUGGCAAGCGUUGUCCGGAUUUAUUGGGCGUAAAGCGAGUGCAGGCGGUUCAAUAAGUCUGAUGUGAAAGCCUUCGGCUCAACCGGAGAAUUGCAUCAGAAACUGUUGAACUUGAGUGCAGAAGAGGAGAGUGGAACUCCAUGUGUAGCGGUGGAAUGCGUAGAUAUAUGGAAGAACACCAGUGGCGAAGGCGGCCCCUGGACAAAGACUGACGCUGAGGCUCGAAAGCAUGGGUAGCGAACAGGAUUAGAUACCCUGGUAGUCCAUGCCGUAAACGAUGAGUGCUAAGUGUUGGGAGGUUUCCCCUCUCAGUGCUGCAGCUAACGCAUUAAGCACUCCGCCUGGGGAGUACGACCGCAAGGUUGAAACUCAAAGGAAUUGACGGGGGCCCGCACAAGCGGUGGAGCAUGUGGUUUAAUUCGAAGCAACGCGAAGAACCUUACCAGGUCUUGACAUCCAGUGCAAACCUAAGAGAUUAGGUGUUCCCUUCGGGGACGCUGAGACAGGUGGUGCAUGGCUGUCGUCAGCUCGUGUCGUGAGAUGUUGGGUUAAGUCCCGCAACGAGCGCAACCCUUGUCAUUAGUUGCCAUCAUUAAGUUGGGCACUCUAAUGAGACUGCCGGUGACAAACCGGAGGAAGGUGGGGAUGACGUCAAGUCAUCAUGCCCCUUAUGACCUGGGCUACACACGUGCUACAAUGGACGGUACAACGAGAAGCGAACCUGCGAAGGCAAGCGGAUCUCUGAAAGCCGUUCUCAGUUCGGACUGUAGGCUGCAACUCGCCUACACGAAGCUGGAAUCGCUAGUAAUCGCGGAUCAGCACGCCGCGGUGAAUACGUUCCCGGGCCUUGCACACACCGCCCGUCA
This 1360-nucleotide ribosomal RNA is filed under the name uncultured bacterium. Its description in RNAcentral is "bacterial SSU rRNA". It matches the Rfam family "Bacterial small subunit ribosomal RNA", at positions 29 to 1399 of the family's 1533-position model. The record is from RNAcentral. RNAcentral also lists the same sequence under 1 other name.